CCACCUUGGUCUCUGAAUCUCGGGUUCGAUCCUUCUUUAUAGAUAAAAUAAAGUAAGGAAUAUUCAUGUCUAGAUGGGAAGAAAAGGCCUAAUUUCACCCAGCCACUUACUUUUUGGGACAAAUAAAGUAUCUGCCAGUCUUACUCGAGGAUCUUCUUGAGGGAUUCGAUGCAGGGGUGGUAUAAUCCCAUAGCUUCCUUGUUUAUUCAUGUCUAGAUGGGAAGAAAAGGCCUAAUUUCACCCAACCACUUAUUCUUUGGGACAAAUAAAGUAUCUGCCAGUCUUACUCGAGGAUCUUCUUGAGGGAUUCGAUGCAGGGGUGGUAUAAUCCCAUAGCUUCCUUGU
This 345-nucleotide long non-coding RNA is filed under the name Selaginella moellendorffii. Its description in RNAcentral is "long non-coding RNA (SMOE_LNC000269)". The record is from RNAcentral. Lineage: Eukaryota; Viridiplantae; Streptophyta; Lycopodiopsida; Selaginellales; Selaginellaceae.